This 253-nucleotide ribosomal RNA is filed under the name uncultured bacterium. Its description in RNAcentral is "partial 16S ribosomal RNA". It matches the Rfam family "Bacterial small subunit ribosomal RNA", at positions 524 to 776 of the family's 1533-position model. The record is from RNAcentral.
UACGGAGGGAGCUAGCGUUGUUCGGAAUCACUGGGCGUAAAGCGUCUGUAGGUGGUUUAAAAAGUCCACUGUUAAAAAUUGAAGCUUAACUUCAAAGAUGCCGUGGAAACUUUUAAACUUGAGUAUGAUAGGGGUAGAGGGAAUUUCCAGUGGAGCGGUGAAAUGCGUAGAUAUUGGAAAGACCACCAAUGGCGAAGGCACUCUACUGGGCCAUUACUGACACUGAGAGACGAAAGCUAGGGUAGCGAAUGGG